Molecule: long non-coding RNA, 268 nt
Filed under: Lathyrus oleraceus (garden pea)
Lineage: Eukaryota; Viridiplantae; Streptophyta; Magnoliopsida; Fabales; Fabaceae
Description: Pisum sativum (pea) long non-coding RNA (PSAT_LNC011957)
Source: RNAcentral
UUUCUUUUUCUUUUUUGAUCAAUGAGUUAAAGAUUGCUGGUUAGCCUUGAUACAUGGGAGGUUUAACCUUCCUUGAUUCAAAUCUAAUUCAACUUGAUCAUGGAUCAAGUGAAUGACUUUGCAUUAAGGAUAGGUUACUUCCUAAUCAAGCAAAGAACCUAAAUCAAUAAAAGAUCAUUUCUCAUUUUCUUUUGGCAUGGCAAGUUGUAGGAGCUUGAUUCACUAAUCAAGAUCUCUGACUUGUGUUGUUGCCUACAUUAUUAUUGAC